UACGUAGGGGGCAAGCGUUGUCCGGAUUUAUUGGGCGUAAAGAGCGUGUAGGCGGCUAUACAGGUCUGCUGUGAAAACUCGAGGCUCAACCUCGAGACGUCGGCGGAAACCAUCUGGCUAGAGUCCGGAAGAGGAGAGUGGAAUUCCUGGUGUAGCGGUGAAAUGCGCAGAUAUCAGGAAGAACACCCGUGGCGAAGGCGGCUCUCUGGGACUGUACUGACGCUGAGACGCGAAAGCGUGGGGAGCGAACAGG
This 253-nucleotide ribosomal RNA is filed under the name uncultured bacterium. RNAcentral's name for it is "partial 16S ribosomal RNA". It matches the Rfam family "Bacterial small subunit ribosomal RNA", at positions 524 to 776 of the family's 1533-position model. The record is from RNAcentral.